Molecule: ribosomal RNA, 553 nt
Filed under: Caenopedina cubensis
Lineage: Eukaryota; Metazoa; Echinodermata; Echinoidea; Pedinoida; Pedinidae
Description: partial 16S large subunit ribosomal RNA
Rfam family: Bacterial large subunit ribosomal RNA
Source: RNAcentral
GUCCUGCCUGCCCAGUGACCAAAAGUUAAACGGCCGCGGUAUCUUGACCGUGCGAAGGUAGCAUAAUCAUUUGUCUCCUAAAUAGAGACUAGUAUGAAUGGCAAGACGGAACUAAGCUGUCUCCUUAUCUCAUUCCCGAAUUUCACCUUCCCGUGAAGAGGCGAGAAUAUAUUCGCUAGACGAGAAGACCCUGUCGAGCUGCAGUAAAGAGUCAACUUUUUAAGUUUUUUCUUCUCCUCCUAAUAGUUUAAUUUAAAAUUAGAAAAAACAAAAAGAUUGGCUCUAACUUUGGUUGGGGCAACCACGGAGAAAGAAAAACCUCCACUAUCUAUAAUUUUAAAUUAAAUUAAAGAACCAUUUUUCUAAUAUCAUAAAAGUGAGAGUAUGAUCCACCCAGGUGAUCAAAAGAAAAAGUUACCGCAGGGAUAACAGCGUAAUCUUCUUUGAGAGUCCAUAUUGACAAGAAGGUUUGCGACCUCGAUGUUGGAUCGGGACAUCCUAAGGGUGCAGAAGCUUUUAAGGGUUGGUCUGUUCGACCAUUAAAGUCCUACGU